GUCAUUUCCUGCGUCUCGCGGCGGGCCGCCGGGUGCAUGUGUGUUAUGGUGUGUUCUCCGUGACAUUCUUGAAGUUGUGAGUAAUUAGAUUGUCUUUUGCUGCGUUUAGGUUGUACCACCUCGUUGUUUUCGUGUACUUUUGCGCUCAUCGACGCGAAGUGAGCGUCCGGAGUGAUGGCGACGCGAUUAUGCGUGAGAAAGAAAGGCAGCAGCGGCCUACGACAUCGGUGUUUCUUUGUGACAGUGUGUUUACUAUGCCUACGACGGCCGUCAUUCGUGGCGAAGGAGAAAACAUCUUCCAUUCGGCCUGAAGAGUGAUGAAGUGGACGUUUUGUUUUUCGGCGGAAUGCAUCGUCAACAUGGUCCAUCCACUACGUAAACGAAACGGCGUGCCCAGAGUACACAUCGUGACAGCGCUCCGCCUUCAAACGGAGGGCCUUUUGCAAGGCGCAUGGACUGCUCAUAUAAAGGUUACAGUCAGCAUGAAGCAAUUGCAUGGGAACCGACUGGCUGUCUUGGGCCUACACGUUGCUGAAAAGACAGUGAAGACGUCUGAGCCGACAGGUAGAAAACAAGCAGAUGGCUACAGCGAUCACUGAAGAAAUGGCUUCAUCUAUGAUGGCUCGCCAUAGGACAUUGGAAUGGAGCUACACAAAGGCAUCACCAGCCUCGCCUGUGCCCUGGAACAUUGGUUUGAAUAAGACUGUUCUUCAGUGUAGAACGACCACAAGACUUGUCACCACAUACAAGGCAUAGUGCAAGCUAUAAAUAUUG
RNAcentral lists this long non-coding RNA (774 nucleotides) under Dermacentor andersoni. RNAcentral's name for it is "uncharacterized LOC126544078". The record is from RNAcentral. Lineage: Eukaryota; Metazoa; Arthropoda; Arachnida; Ixodida; Ixodidae.